GGGGGGAGGGGGGAUUGGGGGCUAUUGAUAUUUUGGAAAAUAACUUUUUUCCAGUUUUUGGAGAAAAACAUUAAUUCUUUUUGACCCUGAGAAAAAGUAAUUGUUUGUUUCAGCUUCAGCUGCCACUUUAUGUAAUGCUAAAAAGACGACAAUUUUGGAAAAAGGGUCCACUAACAUUAAUGUCUAUUUGACUUUUGAGCUGUGGAGUCUGCGCAGUGGCGGUCUGGACCCCUCCCGUCUUGUCUGUAGGUCUGUAUCUGCAAGAAAAAAACAAAGUGCACAUUAGUUCCACAUUAAUACGACAAUUUUGGAAAAAGGGUCCACUAACAUUAAGGUCUACUUAACUUUUGAGCUGGGGAGUCUGCGCAGUGGCGGUCUGGACCCCUUUCUUGUCUGUAGGU
This 401-nucleotide long non-coding RNA is filed under the name Mytilus galloprovincialis (Mediterranean mussel). The record is from RNAcentral. Lineage: Eukaryota; Metazoa; Mollusca; Bivalvia; Mytilida; Mytilidae.